This 585-nucleotide ribosomal RNA is filed under the name uncultured bacterium. RNAcentral describes it as "partial 16S ribosomal RNA". It matches the Rfam family "Bacterial small subunit ribosomal RNA", at positions 355 to 1375 of the family's 1533-position model. The record is from RNAcentral.
UGGGGAAUUUUGGACAAUGGGCGAAAGCCUGAUCCAGCAAUGCCGCGUGUGUGAAGAAGGCCUUCGGGUUGUAAAGCACUUUUGUCCGGAAAGAAAUCCUUGGCUCUAAUACAGUCGGGGGAUGACGGUACCGGAAGAAUAAGCACCGGCUAACUACGUGCCAGCAGCCGCGGUAAUACGUAGGGUGCAAGCGUUAAUCGGAAUUACUGGGCGUAAAGCGUGCGCAGGCGGUUUGCUAAGACCGAUGUGAAAUCCCCGGGCUCAACCUGGGAACUGCAUUGGUGACUGGCAGGCUAGAGUAUGGCAGAGGGGGGUAAAAUUCCACGUGUAGCAGUGAAAUGCGUAGAGAUGUGGAGGAAUACCGAUGGCGAAGGCAGCCCCCUGGGCCAAUACUGACGCUCAUGCACGAAAGCGUGGGGAGCAAACAGGAUUAGAUACCCUGGUAGUCCACGCCCUAAACGAUGUCAACUAGUUGUUGGGGAUUCAUUUCCUUAGUAACGUAGCUAACGCGUGAAGUUGACCGCCUGGGGAGUACGGUCGCAAGAUUAAAACUUAAAGGAAUUGACGGGGUCAUAGCUGUUUCCU